UACGGGGGGGGGCAAGCGUUGUUCGGAAUUACUGGGCGUAAAGGGCGCGUAGGCGGCUUUUCAAGUCGGGCGUGAAAUCUCCGGGCUUAACCCGGAAGGGUCGUUCGAUACUGUUGAGCUAGAGUGUGGAAGAGGCAACUAGAAUUCCGUGUGUAGCGGUGAAAUGCGUAGAUAUACGGAGGAAUACCUGAGGCGAAGGCGGGUUGCUGGGCCAACACUGACGCUGAGGCGCGAAAGCCAGGGGAGCCAAAGCGGG
This 256-nucleotide ribosomal RNA is filed under the name uncultured bacterium. RNAcentral's name for it is "partial 16S ribosomal RNA". It matches the Rfam family "Bacterial small subunit ribosomal RNA", at positions 524 to 778 of the family's 1533-position model. The record is from RNAcentral.